Molecule: ribosomal RNA, 438 nt
Filed under: uncultured bacterium
Lineage: Bacteria
Description: partial 16S ribosomal RNA
Rfam family: Bacterial small subunit ribosomal RNA
Source: RNAcentral
CUACGGGUGGCUGCAGUGAGGAAUAUUGCACAAUGGGGGGAACCCUGAUGCAGCAACGCCGCGUGGAGGAUGACGCAUUUCGGUGUGUAAACUCCUUUUAUAUGUCAAGAAAAUGACGGUAGCAUAUGAAUAAGCACCGGCUAACUCCGUGCCAGCAGCCGCGGUAAUACGGAGGGUGCAAGCGUUACUCGGAAUCACUGGGCGUAAAGGAAGCGUAGGCGGGUUGGAAAGUCAGGUGUGAAAUCCUACAGCUUAACUGUAGAACUGCACUUGAAACUUCUAAUCUAGAGUAUGGGAGGGGAGAUGGAAUUAGUGGUGUAGGGGUAAAAUCCGUAGAUAUCACUAGGAAUACCUAAAGCGAAGGCGAUCUCCUGGAACAUUACUGACGCUAAGGCGUGAAAGCGUGGGGAGCAAGCAGGAUUAGAUACCCGCGUAGUC